RNAcentral lists this ribosomal RNA (406 nucleotides) under uncultured bacterium. Its description in RNAcentral is "partial 16S ribosomal RNA". It matches the Rfam family "Bacterial small subunit ribosomal RNA", at positions 30 to 526 of the family's 1533-position model. The record is from RNAcentral.
AUUGAACGCUGGCGGCAUGCCUAACACAUGCAAGUCGAACGCGUGGCGGACGGGUGUGUUAUGUCUGGGAAACUGCCUGCUGGAGGGGGAUAACUACUGGACACGGUAGCUAAUACCGCAUACCAUCAGAUGUGCCCCGAUGGGAUUAGCUAGUUGGUGGGGUAACGGCUCACCAAGGCGACGAGCCCUAGCUGGUCUGAGAGGAUGACCAGCCACACUGGAACUGAGACACGGUCCAGACUCCUACGGGAGGCAGCAGUGGGGAAUAUUGCACAAUGGGCGCAAGCCUGAUGCAGCCAUGCCGCGUGUAUGAAGAAGGCCUUCGGGUUGUAAAGUACUUGCAGCGGGGAGGCGUUACCCGCAGAAGAAGCACCGGCUAAAUCCGUGCCAGCAGCCGCGGUAAUUC